This 41560-nucleotide long non-coding RNA is filed under the name Solanum tuberosum (potato). RNAcentral's name for it is "long non-coding RNA (STUB_LNC002035)". The record is from RNAcentral. Lineage: Eukaryota; Viridiplantae; Streptophyta; Magnoliopsida; Solanales; Solanaceae.
AACUUUACAGCCCACAUCAACAAAAAAGGCGCUUUGGGUCAGCUACCUGGCUUCUGCUGCAGGUUCUGUUUAUUGGUUAGUGUUUUUGCUGCUUUGCUUUGAUCAAUGUGGUUCAAAUCAAGUUUGUGACUUUGGGAUGUGGGAGCAAGAAUACAUAUGGAGUUGUUAGACCACUUGUCAUUUUUCCUUUUUUUUUGUCCUUGUAUGAGUUAUCGAUCUUUAGGAUUUGGCGGGUGAACAAUGAUCAGUUGGAUUCAUGAGAGAGUAGUAUCUCCAACUUGAGAGAAUAGUAUCUGAAACUAAGUGAUCUUUAGGAGAAAAAGCUAAAAGUUUUGUGAUAGUAAAUAACUUUAGCUAAGAUGCUGUUGUUUCGUCCAUAUACAUGGAGCAGUUAGUGUUUGAAUUGUUCCUACUCUUCGAUGAACUCUACAAUCUCUUCUAACCAAUAUUUGAGCUGUUAAAUUCAAUUUGCUCAGUAGUGAUUACUGGUUAAAUGCAUGUCAAAAGCAUGUUAUUGGCAUAUUUCAGAUAGUAGCUGAGAUGAUAGUUGAAGAUAAUGGUACCAUAGCAUGUCAGGAUACAUAUAAGAAAUAUUAGCCAACUAUAGAUAAAGCCAUAGAUUGAAAUACAUAAAACCUUUCACAGCAGUACUAAAGUAUGUGUAGGCAUAAUCCUCAGGAAUCAAGCACACUAGAAAGCUCUAUUACAAAGUACUUGAGAUUCCAUGAUGAUGUUUUCCACCAUCUAACCCCAAUCGAUUCCUUUAAUGCCUUUAAGCUGAAAUCCUUGCACAUGUUGGAGGGUUGUGAAUUGUGAGCAACAAGCCAGUUGUUCCUGGACGAAAGAUUGUCUUACUAGCUCCGCGCUGAUGUCCACCUAUGCCACAAUGGAAGUAUGUGUUCAUUGUAACUCAUCUAUGAAAAAUAUUCUGUGUAUUCAAGAUUUCAUCUAGUAGCUUGGUUAUGACAUAGGGACAGAAUUGAAUUAAAUGGUAUGAGUUUUGUACUGACCUGGAACUAGCAUCAGUUGCAAGCCUGAAUUGGUCUAGGAUGUGUGAAUCCUGAUGCGCUGCGCCUGAGGUGAGGUUCCCAUUUAGAUGUUGGCAAUACUGUUUCAAAAGCCUCCACGAGCAAUGCAACCUUUCUCUUGCGAGCUGGUGCAAGUUUGUCCACUGCUCGUCGGAGUGCGAAAUCAAGCAUCCAGUCCUCUGCAUUUUUCCUGUCAUCCAUCAUCUGAUGCUUGAGAUCAACUUUCUCUGCAUCUGGAUCUGGCUCCAGUGGCAGGAAAUUUGGUGGUCGUGGAUUGAAGUCUCUUGACUCCUCUGGCUCCUUAGUGUCAUUGCGCCUGGCUAUGCCUCUCAGGUUUAUGUACCUCUCAGACAUUUCUUCACUCGAAUCAUAUUUUGCAUGUGUCUUCUUAUCUUUGAUUUGGUUCUGCUUUUCCACACAUGCCUCAGCUGUUUGAUCCACUUCAACACCAGCUGCAUUUUCACUUCCAUCUUCAGCUUGAUGGCUUGUACAGUCUUCAGAGGCGUUUUCACUUCCAUCUUCAGCUUGAUGGCUUCCAUCACGCUCGUCCUUGAGAUCUGCCUCUACUACCAACUGUUGAGCAUUAUUGCCAUGACCAUUUUCAUCUCCUUGUUCACAGACAAUCUGUUUUAUUCUGUAUCUUCCAUCUUGACAACAAUGUUUUCAUCCGAACGUUCUUCAUUAUCCUUAUAGGUUUCAUCUUGCACUUCAUUGAGAUAGCAAACAUUGAGCUCUUGAUAGCCUUUAAGUGCAGCAUCAUCAUCUUGAGGAGUUACGCAUUCUUCGUGAGAAGUUGCAGUUUCAUCUUCUAGACAGAAGGUUUCUUCUGCCUUAACAGCAGCCUGAUAAUCCAUUGUUGCUGUCUCACUAUCUGUACCAUCUAGAAUCAAAUUGACAUCUAGAGAGAUAAGUGUAGUGUCCUCAGACACUUCAACAUACUCAUCAAUGUCAAAUUCUGUAUGCGAACAGAUAGAUUCGGAGUCAGCAUAAUCAUAACUUGUUCCAGAGAUGAUACUUUCUUUAUCAAAUGACUCUUCCAGAGUGUUGUCAGAUAGAAGUUCAGGAUUAGAUGAUUUUUCAUUGAACUCCUCGCUGACAACUGGAUCAUCAACCAAUGUGAUGGGAUCUAUAUCAUCUGAGAUUGAACCAGUUUCGUCUUCGCUAAAUGCAUAGUACUUCUCAACAUCCCAGUCCAUAUCAGAAGCUUCAUAUUCCAGCUCUUCUGCUGCUGCUUCUAUCUCUAUUUCAGUAUGCAUACUCAAGGAUUCAAUAUCCACUUCCUCUUGAACCAUGUCAUUAGCACCUUCAUUCGGAUUCUCUGCAGGACAAAAGCCAGAAGUGUUGAUUUCUGCUGAAAUAGCUUUCCUAUUUUGAUCAAGAUUGUCCUCGGUAUCAUCUGCUGCCACUUCACUGCUUUCACCAGAAGGUACAAGAUCAGUGACAGAAGAAUCAAUGAUGUAAUAAUCAUCUACCGAGUUGGUCUCUUCCUUUUCGUUGCUAUAAAUUUCGACAAAAAACUCCUUGUCAUCUUCAUUUGUCAGAGGAGCUACCUUCUCUGUAGUACUCUCUAUUUGUUUUGGCACAUUAUCAUUCAAGCCUAAUCCACUAGGAUUAGCUCGACGAGGAGAGACACAUCCCAACUUGAAACUCCUCUGAUUCUUCAACAUACGCCUUCUUGCUGACAAGAAACACUUCAAUGGAGGCAAAGGAGGGUGAUGAUGACCAUUAAGAGAGCAAUAUGUAUAUGGACAAACCUUGAAAACAGAAGUUCCAUCUGAUUCUGUUCCUCCAGGACUAAGUUCAAGAUAUGAAGGAAACUUAACUUCUUUCAAAGUUGAUGAACAUGUAGCCCUUUCUACUUGGAAAUCAUCAUACAUAACAAUAGGGGAACAUGAUGAAACUCUUGUUGGUUUAAAACUAGGAGUUCUAGCUAAUAAACUCCUUAUUGGUUUAUUAACAGAACUAGCUGAGCCUAACUUUGAGUUACUUGAAUUCUUUCUACUACAACUUUGUGAAUAAGUUUGAAGGCUCCUUGAACUUACCUGAGAUUGCUCUUUCCUUGCAACAGAACUGCUUGUGGACUUCAUAUAAUUUGGAGUACAUAUUGAUUGCUGUUGUUGCUGAUUCUGAUUCUGAUUCUGACGCUGACGCUGACGCUUCGUUGGUGUUGAUGAGUUAGUACUAGUGGGUGGUUUGCCUGGCUGAGGUACAUAUUUUCUGAAAUUUGGUGAGUGGGAGAUUUCAUAUUCUAAGUGUUUGGUUUUGCCUGAUUUCUUCAUCAUCUUUUUCUUGAGUUCAGCUUUUCUAUUCUUGAUGGUUUCAUGGUUUUGUGAUAUAGGAAAAGAUGGUUUGUGGUUCAUUAUUUGGUUGUUGGCUUUAAUAUGAUCAGUUUUGAUACCAAGCUUGUUGAGGACUUUUUUUUGCACCAUCUUAAUUUGGUUUUGGGAAAAGAAAGAUAUAUUCCUUUCAAGGAUUUAUGGAUUUGAGGUAGUGUUUCUUCUUCAUGAGAUAAAGAGAGUUUUAGUUCAUGAAGAAAGGCUGUUUUUGAAAUCUCAACUACCAGAGAUUCCAAAUGGUUUAUUUGCUUUUGGUUUGUAGGCAGCCUUUUUUUUUUUUAUGUUCUUGUCUUGCUUUCUUUUUGUGUGUGUAUGUAGGUGGGGGUGGGGAGUGGGGUAGGGGUCUUCUUGCUUUUUGGUGUUUGAUUUGUCAUGUGGGAAAUUUUUAAUGUUACAACAACGACAUAAUCAGUAUAAUCUCACAAAUGAGAUCUGGUGAGUGUAGAGUGUACGCAGAACUUAUUCAUAUCUCGAGGAGGUAGAAAGUUGGUCAAGUGCAACAAAUCAAAGUAUUUAUGAAAAGAGGGAAUAACAUUUUCAGUGUAAUUCCACAAAUGGGUUUGGUGAGGAUGGAGUGUACAUAAAACUUAUUCAUAUCUCGAGGAGGUAGAAAGUUGGUCAAGUGCAACAAAUCAAAGUAUUUAUGAAAAGAGGGAAUAACAUUUUUAGUGUAAUUCCACAAAUGGGGUAUGGUAAGGAUAGAGUGUACGCAAAACUUAUCCAUAUUUCGAGGAGGUAAAAACAUUGAUUUCGAAAGAUCUUUGGUCAAGUGCAACAAAUCAAAGUAUUUAUGAAAAGAGGGAAUACGACAAUGGAGAAAACAUGUCAAUUAAUAAAAAAAAAUUAAUGAUAAGAUUAAGAUAAGAAUUAGAUGCUGACCUGCACUCGAUUGGGAGGUCAUAGGGCCCUGUGGCCCUUUUGGUUUUUUUAAUUUUUAUGUUCAUUUUGGUUUGCAUUAUUGUGAUAUAUGUGACAAAUCAACAUAUGGCACUGUCUCGUUAAAAUAACUGAUGGAUUAUUUGGUCCAAUACAAAGUAAUCCUAAUUAUGAUUCAAUUUUCACAAUAUUUAAAUCAUAUAUUUUACUUUUGUACUUGGCUCAUCUAAUGUUUUUUUUGAGCCGAGGACACUAGGUAAGGAUAAGGUUUGUGUACAUCCCAUUUAUGGAAUCAUAAUGAGUAUGAUAUUGUUGUUGUUAUGAUCCUGAAAUUAUAAUUUCACCUUCUAUAUGUGAUAGAUAAUCGUAAGAUUUUGAACUUAAAUUUUAUUCUGAUUUAGCUUAUAAUCAUAAUGAAAUACUUAAUAAAUUAAUCUCAAACUUUAUAUAUCAAGGGAUGACAGUUUUUUUAGUAAAACAACUUGGUAUUGUGAUGAGAUUUGUUACUCCUAUCAAUCAAUAGUACUUAUAUAUAUAUAUAUAUAUAGUCUCUCGAUCAUUAUCAAAUCGAUUGCAAUUUUUUUCUAUUCAUGAAGAUCCCACCGAAAUACUAUAUUAUUAUUAUUUUUGAAAAAAUGGCAAUGAUAGGAGCAAUAAUUUUAGUUAAAGAUCAACUUAGUUGGACAAACCAUAAUGGCAUAAACUAUGGGAGCAUAACAUAUGGUUUAACUGAUUAUGUAGAUCUUUAAUAUAUAUACCCAAAGCCAUUAGUUUUCAAGUAAUAAACCUUAUUAAAUUAAUCAUAGUUCUAAUUAAAAAGCUAAAACAUUUAGAUCAACUUUCUAAAAAUAUUAGGGAUGAGGAAUAUUAUCUUCUUUUUGUGCUUUAUUAAAAUAAAGAAAAGUAAAAUAAUGGGAAUGAACAGAAGACAAAUCUUGUAUUCUAGGGUGAUUUAGUUGACCAUUAAAAAAUCAAUGGACUUGUUUAAUUUAUUUUACUUUUCAAAAAAAAAAAAAAAGUUAGUGGAAAUUGCCACAAAUUUGGCAGAAAAAGGAAUUUUGAGUAAAUGGUCGGCAAAUAAAAGUUGGGUUAUAUUUAUAGUACCCCACCAUGAGGUACUGAGGAGGAGCCUCUAAUUUGUACACCAGAUUUUUGCAAACGCUCCUCACUUUUUUUUUUUUUUUUCCUCUUUGCUUUCUCUUUAAGGAAAAAUAAAAAGUAGUGGUUAAAUUUAAAAAACAUCGAGAAGAUCAUUUUGUAAGUUGGGAUAUUUAAUUGAAAUAGAAAAAAGAUGAGUUAAAUGUCAAAACAUUCAUUAAUAAUAACAUAUUUAAUGUAUGUAAAUUUUGUUUUUAUCUUAAAAGAUGAAAGUAGAGAGAUGGUUUUUAAUAGAUCUCGACAGGAUAAAAGAGAUGUUUAUUUUUUUGAUAAUGUUACCAACAAUUAUGUGAAGUAAUCAUUUCUUCUUCUUCUUUUCUUUUUGGUCCCAAACUUUCUGUGCACCGCCCAUGCAUGAAAGUUGUGGAUAUAAAAUGGGAGUCCUCUUCUUCUUUUUUUCCUCCAUAUUUGGAGUUUAUAUUAGAGUCUGUUUAAAUUUGAAUUGUGCAUUGUAGAAUUUAUUUGAGAGUGGCGUUUUCAACAAGAUUUUUUCUAUACCCAAAAUUCAAACAUGAAAUCUAAUUAAGGAACCAAUUAUCUUGUUUCUAUACCCAAAAUUCAAACAUGAAAUCUGAUCAAGGAAGCAAUUAUCUUGUUUCUAUACCCAAAAUACAAACAUGAAAUCUGAUUAAGAAAGCAAUUUCACAACUACACCACGAGUCCACCACUCACGUUAGGAAUCAUUUCCUAUUAGACUAGAAUUGCAUGGGUGCUUUCAUGUCUUGUUUAAUGCACCAUUGAUAGGACUCUUUUAGACCCUGUUUGGAUUGACUUAAAAAAACAGUUUUUAAGUAAAAAAUAAAAAGUCAAAUUAAAAUGAUUUUUAAGUCAAAAAAUAAAAAGGAGGGGGAGACCUACUUUUGAUUUUUGACUUAUUUUAAGUCAUUUUAUAUCUUGCCAAACACUUUUCAACUUAUUUUAAGUCAUUUUUGACUUAUUUUAAAUUAUUUUUUAUAGUUGCCAAACACUUUCAGAAGUAAAAAACUGACUUAAAAGUAGGUUUGACCAACUUUUAAACACCUUCUUAGUCUCGUGGCAUUUUUUUAUUUUAAUUUGUCUUAAAAAGAAUGUCAUCUUACAAUAAUUAAAAAGAAUUUAACUUUAGAAUUUCUAUUUUACCUUUAAUAAAAUGAUUAGCCAUACAAAUAUCUAAGAAUUGUUUUAUAUCAUAAAUUUCAAAAGUUUUUUAUUUUUUUCUUAAAUACUAUAUUAAGUUAAAAAGUGUCACAUAAAAUGGGACCGAGAAAAUAUUAUUCUUCUUUAUCCUACCUUUGUUCCACGAAAAACAGUGGUAGUCUUUCAUCUUUUGCUUUUAAGCUGGUGAUGUUUUGUCGGUUUACGGGUAUUUAUUACGUUUCAUCAAUAAAAUUUAAUUAAACCGCUAAUAAUAUUUAUAAUUUCUUUAUUUUCAUUCUUUUUUCUGCACUAAUUUGAACGAUUUCUUCUUUAAGUUGAUUCUAUUAAAAAUAACUUUUCGAUUAUAAAAUCAGGAUAAGAUCUAUAUAAAAAUUAUUAAGGUUUAAGUAAAAUGUGGUACGUAUAAUUGUUAUUGGUUUUCUUCGAAUGUCUUUCAUCAUAUGAUUAUUUCAUAAGCUAACUAUUUGCGGGCAUCAAAAUUUGAUGAGAUUUUAUAAGAUGAGCUCAAUUUAAAAUUUAAAUUGAGUUUUUAAAAGCAAUUUUAUUCUAAAUCUUUUUUCAUAAUUGGAUAUUUAUAAAAAGCUAAGACAUUAAAUAUUGUCUUUGUUAAAGUUGAUAUCCAUCGUUCCUAGCGAUCAAAUUCAUUGCAAGGGGAUCUAAAUCAUCUUAUAUUCGAGAAACACGUUAUUUAGUUCUCGAAUCACGAAGAAAAAUCUAGGAAGAAUCAAGGGAGAAACAAAAUUACACACACAAAUAUAUAUAUUCAUCAAUAAUACCUCUGCCUCAUCAUAUUUUAAUAUAUAAUUAAAAUUUAUUUUCUAUCACUUUAAAAUUUAUUACGAUACAUAAUUAUUUGCUAAUAUUUGAGAAGUUUCACAAUAGCAAAUGAAUUAGGUGUUCACCCCUUGAUGUUAAGGUUAAUAUUUAACUAAUGAGAGUUCCAACACUAUACUUUCAUCGAGAGGAGACUGCUUGAGCUCUAUUUUACUAAAUACAUGUUACUAUCUCGCAUCAACACAAGUCAUAUAACUCUAAUCAUCAAACUUAGAUAAAUGAGAAAAAAUCAUCUAAAUACAUAUUCUUAUUUCUUUUGGAAUUAGAUACACAUUUGGGUGAAGAUUGAGUAUCACACUCACUUUAUUAACCGCUAAGAUACACACAUGAGUGAAGAUUGAGUAUAUAUAGUUUUCUUAAUCCAAAAAAAAAGUAUAUAGUUAUGUUAUUUUAUGUCUACCAUACUUGACAAAAGCAUAAAUAGUGUUUCAUGUACAUGUAUUUCGAAAAAUAAAGCUUCAUAUUAUUAUAAGGCGAAAUGGUCUGGUGGACCCUUAUACUUGUAUCCGUUUGUAUUCUGAACCCUUCUACUUACACCUUUGUCUUAUGGACCCUUAAACUCAAUUAAAAUGAGACUUUUAAGCCCCUCCAACCAUGUGUGUAGCUCACUCUCCUUUUAUAUAAUUGACAUGUCAUAUCCACGUCAGAUAUAUUAAUGCCACAUCAUAAUUAUUUCAUAACUAUUUUUAAAAAUUAUUAACCAAAAUUAUUUAAUAAUAACAUUUUAAUUUAUUAUUGGCAUUUCUAAUUCUCCAUAUUUCACGAGCAAAAGAAAGCCAUCGCCGGCGUCGUCGCCAUUUUUGCCGGCGAAAUCACAUAUACUUUCUCCCUCACCCGUCUUCAUCUCCGCCGCACACCAUCACUAUUUUUCUUUCCUCCUCCAACCUCCACAGUAACAACAACCUAAGCCACCGCACAAUCAGAUCUGGUCACGGCACAACCAGAUCUGGUCACGGCACAACCAGAUCUGGCCAAACUUUUCGUAAUCCAACACCGACUACUAUUUUCACACCCCAAAUUGCUUACAAAUACAAUUUCACAUCAACCUCUGCCGUGAAACUCGUCGAAAUCUACCCAUUAUUGUUUCUCCCCUUCCCACUGUUUCAUAGCCCAAACCGUCGCCGCCGUCGCCAUUGUUGCUAGCGAAACCACUCAUAUUCCUUCCUUUACCUGCCUUCAUCUCCGCCACACGUCACGACCAUUUUCCUUUCCUUCUCCAACCUCACAAAACCAACAACCUAAGCCACCACACCAGAUCUAGCCGAACACCAUCACCAUUUGUGUCUUCAUCUCCGCCGCACACCAUUACCAUUUUCGCCGCUAUGAUUAGAUCCUCGCAUCCUCACCCACCUCGUUUUCCUCUCCGUUGACCAGCCGCGCCUCUCUCUCACUCCACUGUGUAUCAAUGGUGUCCGGCGAUCACACCACUAGCGCCGCUCUCUCCAUCCGUCGGUGAAUUAGUUGACUCAAGGAGGUCCCCAAGAUAAUCUAAAUAAAUGAAAAUAGAUUGUGGAAAAAAGAAAUAGGGGAUGAAUAUGGCUGAAAAGGAGGUGUAAUGGGUGAAGAAGAAGGAGUUUUUUAAUUAAUGGUUUAAAAAAAUUUAAAAAAUUAUAUUUUUAAUAUUUUUUUAAAGUAAAAAUGCUCCUCACUCGCCUUAAUAGGCGUGUAGUUACACACUUUUGCCAACUCAGACAUCCUAAUGCCACAUAAGCAUGGUCAAUGGUCAGAGGGGUUUGUUGAACUGUGUUUUAUUGAGUUUAAAGGUCCAGAUGACAAAGUUGUAAGUAGAAGGGUUCAGAAUACAAAUUGAUACAAGUAUAAGGGUCCACCAGACCAUUUCGCCUUAUUAUAAUAUUAAAUUGAGAAACUUACCAAAAUGUACGGUUCGACCAAAUUUAUUUACCAAUCAUAUAUAUAUAAAAGAGAACGUUAGGUCCGCCUAUGUGGCGCCACCACAAACCAGAAUUCCCUUUUAAUUUAUUUAUUUCCAAAACUAUCCUUCCCCUUUCAUGAAAAGUUAGUGACUUUUUGCGACUUUAAUGAAAAGUUGUGACUUUAAUGAAGAGUUGCGACUUUUAUGAAAAGUUGCGAUUUUUAUGAAAAGUCGUGACUUUUAUGAAAAAUUGCGACUUUAAUGAAGAGGUGCGACUUUUAUGAAAGGUUGGGACCUUUCUGAAGGGUUGCAACUUUUCCAAAUAGUUGUAACUUUUCCGAUAAUGCACAAUAAACAUUUGUUCACACUACCCUUUGUUGUCUAUAAAUAGAGGGAUUUCUUCUCAUUUUAAAACAACGAAAAUUCUGAACCUCCUCUUCUUCUUCUUCACAAUUAAAUAUUUGUGUGCUUUGAUCCUGUUGAGUGGCUCACUGAUAACAUUACUUAUGUUACAAAUCCUGGUAUGUAUUUUUACAAUCAUUAAUUUAUGCUUAUGUUAUUAAGGAUAAAUGAUAAGAUGUAAUAACUUUCAUUUUCCUUUACAUUAUUAAUGUUUGUUACUACAUAAUCUUGUAUGUAAAAUAAUAUAGUGUUUUAGUUUUAAUGACUGAUAGAUUUUAAGUAUUAUUUUAUAAAUUCCGAGAAAUUAAAUUUCCACACAAAGCGCGGGUAAUUUUACUAGUUUAGUCUAAAUAUACAAAACCUAUUAUACAGUAUAUGUAAAUUAUAGUUAAAUAUACAAAAAUUAUACAUUUGUUAGCUAUUUCGUAAACUAGAUACCUAAAGGUGUUGGAUGGUAAUUAUCCUAUUUGAUCAUGCAUAUGGAGAUUUUACCAAACUCAAUCUCUACAUAAACCCACAAGUUUAUGCACCAACGGGUGUGACCUAGUGGUCAAUGAAGCGGUUGAGAGCCCUGAGGUCUCAGGUUCAAAACUUAGGUACAUGUUGCUAGUAGGAGGUAGUGCGUGAAAGUUGGACCAGACACCACGGUCAUCAACAAAUAAACCCACAACUUUAUUACAAUAUAUACUAGGGAGAAACAUGCAUUUCAGUUGAAAUGUUAUUUGUUGUUUGAGUUUCAAGAUGUUAAAUGCUAUACAAAACCUAUAUACCCUUUCUUAGAGCAAUUAAUAGCACAAUAAAAAUAGGAAAAAGAAGAAAUAUAAUGUAAGGAAUUGCUUGUUGGAUUGCACCUUCUUCUGUUUCAUCCUUGGAAUAGUUUACUUUAUCCCUAAUAAAAGCGUCGAAAUAAUUUUGAUAGCCAGUAUUCAUAGAAGAGAAUGUUGAGCCAGUUACCUUCAUCAUUUCCAUGGCCUACCAUUAACCAAAACAACAUUUGAGUACUCAGUAGUAACAAGAUGACCUGAUUUUGCUCAGCAUAAGUUUACAUAAGUUUCUUCUUAUCCGCAUAAGUUACGUAGUAUCUAAUUCUAGUGUUAUAAUAUAAACCAUUCAACCCCUAGACAUAAGGGAAGAUUGUAGUGUAGUGUGGUAAACAACCAGUGGCGGAUCCAGGAUUUAGAGUCCGUGGGUGCCAAAUAAAAGAAAAGUCAAAGGAGUAAUAAUGUAAUUAAUUUAAUUUAAGUCAAUAACAAUUACAAAAAUAAAGUAAAAUAAUGUGCUAGCUGUUUUUCCUUAAAAAAAGGUGCUUGGAGCCCUUUUUUCCCUUAAAAAACGUCUACAACAAAUUUCUCAAAAAAAUAGGUACAAAUGGGAUUCAAACCCACAACAUCAGCCUUCUAAAGUUGCCCUCUUACCGUGACACCACAAGCCAGUUUUGUUCUCUAGGUGGCACACUUUAUAUUUAUAUAAAUAUUAUAUAUAUAUAUAUAUAUACCUAUGUANNNNNNNNNNNNNNNNNNNNNNNNNNNNNNNNNNNNNNNNNNNNNNNNNNNNNNNNNNNNNNNNNNNNNNNNNNNNNNNNNNNNNNNNNNNNNNNNNNNNNNNNNNNNNNNNNNNNNNNNNNNNNNNNNNNNNNNNNNNNNNNNNNNNNNNNNNNNNNNNNNNNNNNNNNNNNNNNNNNNNNNNNNNNNNNNNNNNNNNNNNNNNNNNNNNNNNNNNNNNNNNNNNNNNNNNNNNNNNNNNNNNNNNNNNNNNNNNNNNNNNNNNNNNNNNNNNNNNNNNNNNNNNNNNNNNNNNNNNNNNNNNNNNNNNNNNNNNNNNNNNNNNNNNNNNNNNNNNNNNNNNNNNNNNNNNNNNNNNNNNNNNNNNNNNNNNNNNNNNNNNNNNNNNNNNNNNNNNNNNNNNNNNNNNNNNNNNNNNNNNNNNNNNNNNNNNNNNNNNNNNNNNNNNNNNNNNNNNNNNNNNNNNNNNNNNNNNNNNNNNNNNNNNNNNNNNNNNNNNNNNNNNNNNNNNNNNNNNNNNNNNNNNNNNNNNNNNNNNNNNNNNNNNNNNNNNNNNNNNNNNNNNNNNNNNNNNNNNNNNNNNNNNNNNNNNNNNNNNNNNNNNNNNNNNNNNNNNNNNNNNNNNNNNNNNNNNNNNNNNNNNNNNNNNNNNNNNNNNNNNNNNNNNNNNNNNNNNNNNNNNNNNNNNNNNNNNNNNNNNNNNNNNNNNNNNNNNNNNNNNNNNNNNNNNNNNNNNNNNNNNNNNNNNNNNNNNNNNNNNNNNNNNNNNNNNNNNNNNNNNNNNNNNNNNNNNNNNNNNNNNNNNNNNNNNNNNNNNNNNNNNNNNNNNNNNNNNNNNNNNNNNNNNNNNNNNNNNNNNNNNNNNNNNNNNNNNNNNNNNNNNNNNNNNNNNNNNNNNNNNNNNNNNNNNNNNNNNNNNNNNNNNNNNNNNNNNNNNNNNNNNNNNNNNNNNNNNNNNNNNNNNNNNNNNNNNNNNNNNNNNNNNNNNNNNNNNNNNNNNNNNNNNNNNNNNNNNNNNNNNNNNNNNNNNNNNNNNNNNNNNNNNNNNNNNNNNNNNNNNNNNNNNNNNNNNNNNNNNNNNNNNNNNNNNNNNNNNNNNNNNNNNNNNNNNNNNNNNNNNNNNNNNNNNNNNNNNNNNNNNNNNNNNNNNNNNNNNNNNNNNNNNNNNNNNNNNNNNNNNNNNNNNNNNNNNNNNNNNNNNNNNNNNNNNNNNNNNNNNNNNNNNNNNNNNNNNNNNNNNNNNNNNNNNNNNNNNNNNNNNNNNNNNNNNNNNNNNNNNNNNNNNNNNNNNNNNNNNNNNNNNNNNNNNNNNNNNNNNNNNNNNNNNNNNNNNNNNNNNNNNNNNNNNNNNNNNNNNNNNNNNNNNNNNNNNNNNNNNNNNNNNNNNNNNNNNNNNNNNNNNNNNNNNNNNNNNNNNNNNNNNNNNNNNNNNNNNNNNNNNNNNNNNNNNNNNNNNNNNNNNNNNNNNNNNNNNNNNNNNNNNNNNNNNNNNNNNNNNNNNNNNNNNNNNNNNNNNNNNNNNNNNNNNNNNNNNNNNNNNNNNNNNNNNNNNNNNNNNNNNNNNNNNNNNNNNNNNNNNNNNNNNNNNNNNNNNNNNNNNNNNNNNNNNNNNNNNNNNNNNNNNNNNNNNNNNNNNNNNNNNNNNNNNNNNNNNNNNNNNNNNNNNNNNNNNNNNNNNNNNNNNNNNNNNNNNNNNNNNNNNNNNNNNNNNNNNNNNNNNNNNNNNNNNNNNNNNNNNNNNNNNNNNNNNNNNNNNNNNNNNNNNNNNNNNNNNNNNNNNNNNNNNNNNNNNNNNNNNNNNNNNNNNNNNNNNNNNNNNNNNNNNNNNNNNNNNNNNNNNNNNNNNNNNNNNNNNNNNNNNNNNNNNNNNNNNNNNNNNNNNNNNNNNNNNNNNNNNNNNNNNNNNNNNNNNNNNNNNNNNNNNNNNNNNNNNNNNNNNNNNNNNNNNNNNNNNNNNNNNNNNNNNNNNNNNNNNNNNNNNNNNNNNNNNNNNNNNNNNNNNNNNNNAAAUGGUCCAACACUUAGAAAAAUUUUUAGGCGGGUGAACAGUAACCAGGCUUACUGGAAUUUGCAUUUCCUUCCGGACAGACUUUACGAAUGGGCAUAACUUCUUCGUCCGAACUCCGAAUGAGGUGAAACGAAGUGCGUUAGGUAGCUAACUCAAAGGGAUUUCCAUGGAUAUGUUAUGGGCCACCCAAUUAUUUGUGUGCUAGGAGAUAUGACCCUCCAAAGUAGACCCUCGAAAAAGGCUUCACUUGGAAAUUUCGGAUUUUGAUACGAUUGCUCUAAAAUUUGGGUUAGACCCAUUUCCCACUCAAUUUGACCCCCUAAACAAGAAUAUGAAGUCGGAUUUUCGAAAAACGAAACGGAUCUUUUUAUAUACAGCUAAACAAGUUUCCGGUAACUUCCGAAACACAUUUUUAAGAACUUUUUGGGUCAAAUUCAAAUAUAAUCAUUUCAUUAAGUUCUCAACUCCAAACUCACAUGUGAGGCUCUAGUUUCACUCUAUCCUUUUCCGAGUCGUUACAUAUACCUAUGUAUAAAUAGAGUUUCCGUCGAAGUUCGGGGGUGGCGUGGCACCCCCACACCCCUUCAUAGAUCCGGCCCUGUAAACAACGGUUGGAAGUUACUUAAGGUCACACGUUCAAAUUCUAGCUAUGAUAGUUUAGCAUUUUUUUUAAUAUCCCCGUGUAUAAAUUCCUAGCUCUGUCAUUUGAAGGUGUGCAAUAUCCAACAAAGCCCUUAAAGAUACCUAAACUUCUAAUCGCCUGUCCAAAAUCAAGUGUGUUAAUAAACUUCAACCUUUCAACAGAUCUUUACACUCUAGGUAGAUGCACAACAUGAGCUACCUGAAUAGCUAAUGAUUACCUGAAAGCUGAACAUAAAUUGUCUUGCUUUCUUGCUAACUCCAGGAUUAGGAUGAGACUGAAGCUUCUCGUACAUUGAACGAGCUUCAUUGGACCUGUCCAUAUAUGGUGUGGAAAUGAAUGAUCAGUUUUAGAAGUAGGCACAAGGUCCAUGCAAGUGCAAGUUCACGCUUAAUGAUUUGAACAUUCAAGCAUCACAAAGAUCAUGACAUGACAGAAGGCUUGUUGCAAAAACGACCAUUCCACGCUGAAGUUCUAGAGAGAUGCAAUUCCCUCUGGACUCUGACAAAUUUGGAUGGGAUAGACACUCAUCUUUUUAUGUAUUUUUCACGAGUGUUGCUUUUGGGCAGGAAAUCAGUCAGUGUUCCUUUUUUUAAAGUAACUACCAGGGAUUGAUAUAUUAGAAAGUUGGUUAAUUGAUGUCUAGAGAUAGAUGCUCGUCACAUAUAAAUUAUGAAAGAGAAAAUAAUUGUUUUCGUCCCUGUGUUGUUGUCUUAUUUUUGUUUUGGUCCCUAUGAUAUCUCGCAAAUCAUACUUAACCUUUAAUUAAUUAAAGUAAGUGAUUUCAGUCCUUCUACUAACAGUGAAUAUCAAUUUAAACAGAUCACUUACUGCUGUCAGGGGUAAUUUUGGUAUUACAACAAGAAACACUUCUAUGCAGGGAAAAAAACCUAAAGCUACAAAAUAUUUAAAACUUCUCCCGUAACAUCCUCUCUUAUACACAAGCUAGCAUAUCCCAGCCCUACUCCCUUCUUCAAUUUGAAUGUGAAUUCAAUCCUCUCAUACACUACUUUGUGUGUUCGUUGGUUGAUGAACAAUUUUUCUCUUUAGUUGCCUCCCAUUUAUAUGAGAAUACAAUCCAGACACUCCUCCUGCAGCACAAAAAACAACUCAGUACACUUCUUGAAGUGAAACAAUAUCAUUCAAUUUCACAAUGAAACUCCAAAGCAAGAAUGGACUACAAUUCACGCCGGCAUGUAAGUACUCAAUUAAUUUAUUUAUAGCCUAAAUCUUUGAUUAUAUGGAAAUCUGAAGAAAAAAAAAGUUGAGUUACAGAACGCAACAACUAAUAUUUCACAUAAAGAAUAAAUAUCCAUUUUUUAAAAAAAGCUAUAAGAAUUAUAAAAAUCAAAUAUUUGUAGUGCAUACUCUAAAUUUGUAUGACAUAUUACAUUUUGUGUUUGUUCCACUUAUUAGAAUACCAUAAGCAUAUUCUUGUUUUUUUUAAAAACAAUAGAUGAAAAUGAAAAUUCAGAAGUGCACACAGUUAAAUGUGAAGUAAUCAUAAACUAUGAUACAGAUAAGUAAACUUUUUUAGGAACUGUAGUUUGCAUAAUUCAAAUUCAAAAUUAAUAUAGAUUUACAUUAUUGGUUACAUAUUUUUGUGUUGGAUUUGUAUCAUUUACAUUUUCUAUUGGAGAUGUUUAUUGUUAUAACACUAAUAGAAUCUACUUUUUCUUUUACACGACAGAUGAAGGUGAAGAUUCAUAUAUGUACACCAUUAAAUUACACUACAAGGGUUGGUGGGUGUUUGAGCCAGUGAUGAACUAUGUUAAUGGACAUAUAGCUUAAUAUGACUAUUGCAAUGGAAAUAAAAAUUCCAUUAUUCAGAUGAGGCAAUGUAUGAAAAAGUUUAAAGUUAAUGAUAAAAAGGUGAAAUUUUGGUUCAAGUUUGGGCCUUAUUUUGAGACGAGUAUAAGACUUUUGACAAUUGAUUUAGAUAUAUAUAACCUUGUCUAUGAAAUAACUGACAGUAGAGUAGUUGAAAUAUUUGUUGAGCACACGGAAGAGGACCAAUGGAACUAUGAUGUAGCUGUUUCUGAGGGCAACCCAUUACAAGGCGGAGAAGAUUUGAUAGAUGUGAAUGUAACAGAGAAAAGUGACGAGAGUGAUGCCACAUGUGAAGAAUGUGAGUCAUUUAAUGACCCUGAUUAUUCCUUGGAAGAAGAUGAUAUGAUUUUUGAUAAAAUCGUUGACUCUACUGUAGAAUGGGUUGGCCUUAAUGGGAGAAACAGAGAAAAUCAAGUUAAAGAAAAAACUAUGGAGGUUGGAGUUGCCUCAAACAUGUUGGCUAUGUUUCCCAAUGACACUCAAGAAAAUGAUUGUGCUACAUCAGAUGAGGAAUUAAUGAGUUUACAUGGAGAUUCUGAUGAUGAAAAUCUUAAAAGAUCCAUUGUUUUUAAUCCAACUAGGGGAUUUUGGAGGAUCCAAAAUUUUAAGUUUACACUUGAUAUGAUUUUCAGCAAUAGCAAAGAAUUCAAGUGGGCAGUUGAGGUACAUGCUGUGUUCCAAAAAAGAGACAUCAAGUUUAAGAAGAACGAAAGUACAAGGUCGAGGGCCAUUUGUAAGGUGUCGAGUUGCAAAUGGUUCAUAUUUGCAUCAAAGUCUAAUCAAGAUGAACCUUUCAAGAUCAAGACAAUAGGCCCUGACCAUUCUUGUGGCAAACAAAGAGAUAACAAGACUAUUGACUCGGGAUUUUUGGCUAAGAAGUACGUAGAAGAAUUUAGAAUAAAUCCAAGUUGGGGAGUAAAAGAAUUCCAAACUCAUGUGAUGAGGACUCAUAAUUGUACUAUUACUCGAACCCAAGCUUAUAUGGCAAAGAGGAAGGCAUUAGAUCUAAUUACAGGAACUAAAGAAGAGCAAUUUGAUAUGUUAUGGGAUUACUGUGCUGAGCUAAGAAGGAGUAAUCCAGGGACUACAUGUAUUUUGAAGCUGGAUGAAAAUCCAAAAACAAUGGUUAAUGGUAGAAAAAGAUUUUUGAGACUUUAUAUAUGUUUUGCAGCUUGCAAACAGGGUUUUUUAGCCGGAUGUCGACCGAUAAUAGGGGUUGAUGUAUGUCAUUUGAAAGGGCACCAAAAGGGGAGUUAACUAUUGACAGCAGUAGGCAUUGAUGGAAACGACAACAUAUAUCCUAUUGCAUUCGCAAUUGUUAGAAGGUGAACUAAGGAACAUGGAAGUGGUUUCUAACGCUUCUUGAUGAGGACCUAGGAAUAUCACAAAACCCUUUUGCAUGGACUUUCAUUUCUGAUAAACAAAAGGGUUUAAUUCCAGCAUUUGAUGAGAUGAUGCCAGAUAUUGCACACAGAUUUUGUGUGAGACAUCUACACAAUAAUUCCAGAUAAACCCUUUUGCAUGGACUUUCAUUUCUGAUAAACAAAAGGGUUUAAUUCCAGCAUUUGAUGAGAAGACAUGUUCUUGUAGAAGAUGGGACUUAACAGGAAUACCUUGUAAUCAUGCUAUUGCAGCUAUAUGGAUUAAGAAGGAUGAGCCUGAAAUAUAUGUUCAUGAAUGUUAUACAGUUGAUCAGUACAUGAAGAGUUACAGUCCAUCCAUCCUGCCAAUUGUCAGCAUUGAGCAAUGGCCUAAGACAGGUAUUGAACCACCAUUGCCACCAAUAUAUAAAGUACAACCAGGGAGACCAAGAAAACUAAGGAAGAGAGGGAUUGACGAGACAACUAAAAAAGAAUCAGAUUCUGGAAAGCUUACCUUGUUAAAAGCAUCAAGAAAAGGCAGAAAAAAGAAGUGUGGAUCAUGUGGAACAUUAGGGCACAAUAGUAGAAAGUGCCCUAUUCUUAUGGGGAGAAUCCACUCUGAAGUUCAACAACAACAAAUUCAUCAAGAAGUCGUAAAGGAAGGCCCUUCUACACCUAAUAAUGCAACAGAAGUAAGUAGUCAAAUAAAUUGGUUCUUUUCAGUUAUUGUUGUCUACUUAAUAAUGCAACAGACAUAAGUAGUCAAACAAGUCCAGGAUAAUGAUACAAUUUUUUUAUUGUAAGGUUCAAGCACCAUUAUUGAGAGUGCGACAUCAAUGCAGUCCAAUUCUUUUAUAGCUGAACGAACUGUAAUUACCUUUCUUGUUAUCUACUAAUGUUGCUUGUAUCCGACUUACUAUCUGACUUAUUUUCUUAUAUAUAUAUUGUAGGUCAAUCAACUUAAUCAACCAAGGGUACCAAAAGAGCAAUUGAGAAGUUCUGCUUUCAUUUUAGAAGAAAUUGGUGAGCAUUCCAGAGAAGUUACAAGACCACUCUUCAUCGAGAGAAUGGGAACACAAUACGUACCAAUAUCAAAAUUACAAGAAGUACUUUCUCAAAGUAGAAAGAGGGUGGGAAGUGAUCCACGGGCCAAGAAAAAAAAUGUUCCUUAAAUAAAGAAGUACAUACACAAGUUUAGAUCUAGUUCUUUCAUUAUGAUUAUGAAAUUAUUCAUGUUCAUGGAUGAUUUUGUUUUCUUUUUGAAACUUUAUGCAACUUAAAAUCUAUGAAAGACGAUAGAAUAAAUUAUUGAAUUCUCAUGAGAAUUUGAAGUUACUAAUUUAAAAUUUAUGCAUCAGCUUUAAGUUCAUAAAAGAUUAGUUUACAUAGUUGCUUUAGUCUAUCAAUUUAAACAUGUAUAUUGUAUUUAAGGAUAGUGUAUCUUAUAAAAUAGUGAAAGGUGUAGCAAGACUAAAAAUGUUAUGUCUAAUUAGCUAAUUUCCUUUAUACAUAUCUCAAUUAACCAUUCAGAAAUUUGAACCAAAUCCUCUUUCCCCGAGUUUGUUUUCUACUUUGAGUUAUUUGUUGCUGAGGCAAUCACCUCAAAUUCAAUUAGCGGAAGUUCAAUUGGAUCUUCUUUCUUUAAUUGCCAACCCCAGAAAUUCUAUUAUCAAAUAUUUGGCAAUAACGAACAAGCUUCUUAGCUUAAAUAUGGUCAAUAAACACAAUUUUCAAAUACUAAAUUCAUUCUACAAAGAUUAUUUCUGUUAGAGAAUAAAAAAUUUAAGCUCUAAUAGAAUGACGAACCUUUAAGGAGAUUGAGAUUCAAAUGUAAAGUUUGCUAUCAUUCUCUAUGGUUGUGAUCAACUAGUGCUUCCAACCAUCAUCUACAUCUACAGUUUUAGGGCAAAGCAACAAAAUUUAGACCAUUUCAAGGCAAAGCAACAUAGACAACAAGGACCCAUAUAGCCGGCUCCAACUUUCUUGAGACUGACACAUGAUUUUGUACAUCAGUCAUUCCACGGGAGAGAGAAAGAGACAUCAUUUUGAGAAAUGGGUUUUACUUUGAAUCUUCACUUUCCCAAAUGAAUGACAUUACUUUGGGAAGUGCAAUCCACUGUGAAAUGGGUUAUUUCACUUGAACUCUAACAAAAAUAUUAUUAUUUUUAUAUAUGAUUAUUGUAAUACCAAAAUUACCCCUGACAGAAGUAAAUAAUCUGUUUAAAUUGAUAUUCACUGUUAGUAGAAGGACUAAAAUCACUUACUUUAAUUAAUUAAAGGUUAAAUAUGAUUAGUGAGAUAUCAUAGGGACCAAAAUCAAAAUAAGUCAAAAACACAGGGACGAAAACAAUUAUUUUCUCAUUAUGAAACCAUAUGUUAAUUGACCCUUCUUGCUUAUCACUACUAGAAAAACAGUAAAAAGAGACCUCAAAAAUAGGUCACAAAUAGAGACCUCAUGAGGUCGUUUUACCCCCUCAAUUUGAUAUUUUUAAAGAAAGAGACUUCAUGAGUUUUGUUAAAUGAAAUUAUAACUAAGGAUAGCGACCUCGUGAGGUUGCUUUUAUUAGUCAAAACCGUCAAACAAAAAAAUUAAAAUACAACCUCACUAGGAGUCUCUAUUUUUAAUAAAAAUACAAACCCAACUCUCAUUUGUGAACAGUCAUCCAACCCCACCCUCACUCUCAACCCCAAUUCUCACAACCAGCAGUCCCACCCCCGCAGUGCCCCUCAAAUCUGUCCAGGUAAUUAUUUUUUUUACAUAUUCUUUAUACAUUCUUCAAAGCCGUGAGCUUUAUGUGAUUUGUGUUCUUUUUAGGAUUUGGGUGAGUUUUGAAAGUUGUCCAUUAUGCUUAAUUUCAUUCUUUGUUGUUGAAAUUGGGAAGUGAAAAAACUAUAUAAUAUCAGGAAUGAAGAAAGAUAAGAGACCAACUUAUCUUCCUCAUUUUGUCACUUAUUUGAUUGAGAAAUUCGUACUUAGUUUCCCUGAAAAGAGAUUCCAAUUUCCAAGAAUAAAAAAUUAAACCUAACAAGAUUUGCAUACAGGUCAUUCUCAAUAUUUAUUUUUUCUUUGAUGUCAAAUGGAGAAGAAAGAAGGAAACAAAUUUCACUCAUUCCAAAUUUAGAUACCUUCAAUUCCUCAUAUCUGUUGUUUUUUUCAGUUUGUUAUGCUUUAUAUUUUCCCUUCUUACUACCCAUAAAUUUUAUAACAAUCAUAUUCCUUUUAACAUGAGUGUUGAUGAGAGGAGCAUAAGGUGUUUGUUUGUAUAUUUCUAUGGCUGGGGAUAGAAAAAAAUGAGAGAGUGGUCUGGUUUAGUCAAGGAGAAAGUGUUGAGAUUAGUUAGUGACAUUGAAUGUCUUCUAAUGAAGGAAACCACUGCAAGGCGGUGGACGAAGGUGCAAGGAGGAAGAUUUGGCUGGUGUAGUAAUUGUGAAUGUUUUCUCUGUUAAGUUUAAUAGAUUUUUAAGAAAGAACUAUUAGUUUCAAUGUUUGGGACUAAAAGAUCUACUUUUUACAUACAUCAAGGACUAUUAGCUUUACUUGAUCUUGAAAUUUAACUCAACUUUAUACUAUAUUGGACCUUGAAUUAAAUUAAAAAAUAUUUGAACUUUGAACUAGGGACUGAACUUCGAAUUUACAAUUCAACUUUGAACUUAAAAUUGAAAAAAGAAAACUCUGACUCGAAGCAAAUUAUUCUUUAAAAAAAUUUCUUUAAAAGAGCUUCAAGAUUAAGUAGAAUAAGGUUACAAUUCGAUUUCUAAGAUAAUGAAAACACCAAGUAUUUAUAUGUAGGUUAUUAGUUGCAUUAAGUCAUAAGUUGAGUUAGGCAUAGCUCGAGUGGCAAAAGGUGGAGAAUUUGUGGCUUAGGUUGCAGGUUCAAGCCCCACACCAUGCAAAGCAAAGCCCGGUAUUUAAGUGGAGAAGGGUAGAGGGGCGGGCCCAUUAUCCACCGAGUUUAGAAGGCUGUGAUUGGUCCAAAGGGCGGGUCACAGACGGGGAUUUCUCAGUUAUCAAAAAAAAAAGUGAGUAUUAAAUUUGAAACUCAAUAAUAUUAAAAAAUGUUGAAUUAUUACUUAAUUUAGUGUUUAACAAAUUCAAAUUUUGUGAUCUUUAUGUAGAUGGAUCGUAGUUGGAUGUAUGAAAGGACUAAUUUUGGUCAAGUGGGGAUGAAGCCUGAAUUUGUAGAAGGUGUUGAUGGUUUUGUGGACUAUGCAAUGACACUAGAACCUUUUCAACUUAGUAGCUUGGUGAAGUGUCCUUGUAAGAAAUGUCAAUGUAUGAAUUAUGAAAAACCAGAGAUUGUUAAGUUUCAUCUUUAUCGAAAUGGGUUUAAAGAAGACUAUACAGUGUGGACUAGUCAUGGAGAAAUUGACAAUAGUUUUGAUAGAUUUCAACACCAUGUUGUUGGUGAAAGUAGUAAGGCAGUGAAACCUAAUGUCCAAAAUUAUAGAAUGCACUACAUGGUUCGGGAUGCGCAUAAGCUGCAUCCUGAUUUUGAAUUUCGCGACCACGUUGAAGAAGCUCCCAAUGAUGAAUCUAGAAUUUUCUUUGAACAAUUGAAAGUUGCUAGUCGGCCUUUAUAUGAGGGGAGUCCACACUGGGAGACCGACGCGAGGUUCAAGCAGAUAAACGAGGUUGCCAAGAUGGUCAGAGCAACUACUAAGGGUGGCUCUCUACACACAAUUGGGGUUCAGAGCCAAGGGAAUGUGAAGAGGAAAUUGGUACGUUCAUUUCUUAAGUUAUAUAUAUUGUAGGUUAUUAAUAUUUAAUUAUUCUUGAUUAAUAACUAAAUUAAUUUCGUUCGUAGGAAAAUAAACUGGGGAGACCGGUAACUCAGGCAAAGGCAUUCAAGACUACACACACAAGGAAGAAGAAAACCCCCGGAGAUCCAGACGUUUGGGUUCCUCAACUGACCUACGUAAGCCAAUAAUUUAAAGUAAUAAUUACUUUACUUCCUAAAUUUAUAUUCUAAUAUUAUUACUGUUAUAUUCAUAAUCAAUACAUGCAAUCCGUUGAGGAUUACCAUCAAAUUCAACUAGAUGAUAGCCGAGGCAUGCCAUUGAGCCAAGAGCAGACUGAGAGAAUGUGGCUAGACUCGGUUGGUGGGCCGAGUUGGUAUGGGUAUUCUUACGACCCCUUUCGUGAAUUUUAUUCGGAGCUAGAAGGCCUAGGUAGUUUCCAGGAUGAUUGGUCAAGGGAGAAGAUUUUGGAACAGAAGAUAGCUAAGCUAUGUAGCCAAGUCGAAGUCUCGCGGGCUAGGGAAAGGCAGAGGGACAUAGAGCAUGAAGGGAUUAAGGCCCAAUUAGAUGCACUACUUGCUUUGGUUGCUUCGGGGUGGAUUCCCCCUUGUCCCAGUGAUGUAGUUUGCCCUCCUCGUCUUUCCCAGUAUCAACCUAUUCAACAUCAAGUAUAUGGUCAAUACAGAGGUUUGACCGAUGAGCCCAGCAAUGAUGAGGAUGAUGAGGAUCAUGUGGCAAACAUACCACCUCAUUAUUGAAGUUUAGAGUUGUAUUAGAUAAUCUAAACUAAGUACUUUAUGGUGAUUUUAAGACUUAUUAUGUGUUUUGUGGAUGCAUGAGAACAUUGAAGUAGUUUGAAAUCCAAUUGUACAGCUUAUGACUUCUAUGCUUUUUCCAUUCAAUUUCGAAGUACUUUAAAGUUGAUUUUCAAGUAGUGUUGAUUGGAGGAUAUUUAGCACAUGUAUUUGUUGUAGUUUGAUUGAUUGUUGGCAGCUCUUUGAGCUUGAUUUAGCUAAUUAGAAUGUACAUAUUAUUGAAUUGAAUUUAAAUGGAUGGUGUGCAGCUGCUAAAGCAAAAAUCUGCUACCAGUUUUUUUUCUUCAGAAAAGUGACCUCAUGAGGUCUCUUUUCUGCAAUUAAAUUUUUCAUAAAUGCAGUAAAGAGACUUCAUGAGGUCUCUUUUCUGCAAUUUCAUUUCCCAGAAAAAUGUGUAAAGGCGAUUAACAAUUCGUUUCUUUCUUUAUUGGUGAGUUUUUGCUGUGCCCUUUCAAGAAGGACCAAACACAUUGAGGUAACGAGAUCUUUAUGUCCAUACAACUUAUGAGUUAAGUUUUUGAUCUUGUUAGAAAGACAUAAUCAUUCCAUACUAAUCUAACUUAACACCCUAAAUUUUUGUUCCAUUUUAUUUUAUAGUAGUCAGAAUGAGUAGAAAAUGGCUCAGUAAGGAAUAUGGGCAUGGCCACAUUAGGUGAUUAACAUAUUAGGAAUCACUCUGUUAUUGCCCUUUUUUCUAAUAACCAUGGUGUCCGGGUCACUUGAGCGCACCUCUAUGUUAUUUCCCUAAAAAAAGCAUAUGAAUAGAACAUAAAAAUCAUUAAGAACACCAAGAAUAUUACGUUAGAAAAAUGGUGAAUUUAUCACUUGAAUCCACAGGUUUGUAGGGGUCCAGUAUUCUAAGCUGGCCUCUCUUUUAUCAAUUAGUUUAACAAGAUGCUCAGUGAAAUUCUCUCUUUCCUUUUUAAUUUCUCUUGGGUGAGUAGGAAUUCUUAAGCAUAAAUGCUUCAACUACUCUUAUUAGAGCAGAGGGCAGACAUUUUUAAGAAGUUGUUUAAAACCUAGGACAUUAGAGAAUCACAGAUGACAUACCUACGAAGCGAGUCUUGACAAAUAGACCACUGCAGUGCAGCUAAUCCAUGAAGUUGAGUCUGCACAAAUAUUAUGCCAUAGAUUUCAAUGUCAAAUGUACUGAAAACGAGAAGUGUCAAUUGCCUUAGGUUUUCUUUUAUUACUUUACACUUUUGUUUAGAACGGGAUAACACAAAGUUAAGAAGUAUAAAAGUAAGACAAAUGUAAUCUAGUCUCUCAUGAACCACGACAUUCAUUUUGUAAGAAAGUAAAUCUUAAGUUUUUACAUCAUAUGAAAGAGAAGCAAAAACGUAUAAGUAACAACUUCAGUCCUUGUUACUUAUGUGUAAAGCACAUCAAUUUGUUCAAGGCCUCUUUUAUCAUAAUAAUAUUAACAUAUGCAAUCCUUAUCCCCAAAAGAUAUUUGAGCGUGAAGUUGGAUCUUUUCCUUCUUUUUUGGUGGAAUGAUGCGGGUCAUUUGCAACAGAGUGCUGAGCAAGUUAGCACCUUUACUCAAAUAACAUACAAUGAAGUUGGAUAAAAUGCAUCUAAACAAUUCUUUCUUUUUUCUGGUUUAAGAUGUGAAAAGGGGGAAAAAAAAAAGAUACAUGCAUUAAUGUUAAGUGUUGAAGUCCAUCUAGUACAAGAAAUCACCUGAAACGGCAACUUAUUCAUAACUUUCUCAUAAAAUGGUAGUGCUUCCUUGAGCUUGCCAAGGUCCAUGAAAGAGUCACCAUCCUUCAAUGCCUAAGUAUGACAGCACUAAAAUUAAGAAGUAAGUCAUACCUCAUGAUUCUCAAACAAGAAAGGAUAUAAACCCACAUUAAGAAUGGCUUAAUAAUUGAAACACUCUUCCCUUUCAAAGGACUCCUUCAAAAUAUGUCAAUUAUCUUAUCUAAAUCAACCAUAAACAUAAGUAUCUGAACUAGAUUAAUUCCAAUGUACCUUGCUUAUAAACUUUGGUGGAGGCAUAGGAGUAACCCCCUUCGUUGGAAAAAUAUACAUACAUAGGGCCUAAAAUGAUUAAUUUAUUUUUUGCAUAUAUAUAAGUUGAAUCUCCUUGGCAUGAGAUUUUUAAAAAAAAUCCCCUUGUUUGAGUUCCUGGCUCCACCACUGCUUGUAUGGAUGGAAAUUUACAGGAAAUCUAUUUCUAAAAAGGUAUGCUUCAAUCAAUUUCAACCAUGUUGAUAAGUCGUUAGUUUAUUUUACAACUUGUGAAUUCAAGAAAAACACCCACAUCUAGCCUCUUAAAUGUAUUAUUCGAUUUAGUUUGCAUUCAAAGUCUUGGAAUAUGAAUUUAUGUGCUUUCAGGUCCAUUCACCUGACUUUCUUGAAGUUUACGGAUUCUCCCCUAGUAUUCCAUACUCUCCCCCUCUCGGCCUUGAUUUCAGUCCUGGAAACACAAAUGAGAAUGCAAGACCGGGCGCCUUAUAGAGGACUUUUUGGACUUCGCAGUUCUGGAGGAUAACUAAUUCAGACCAAUAUCACUCUACUUUCUUCACAUGUACAUUUCCAAGCCUUUUGAGUCUUUCUAACCAUAGUUUUGCUGGUAAUGUCAUGCCUCUUUUGUAAAAUCACUGUUACAUGCACCUGCCGUGCAUAUCGUAGCAGCUCUGCAUGAACAUGCAAUGUUGGCACCCUUAAUGCUAAAAGUUCAUUCAAAACCACCCCCGAUAUGUGAACACAGAUGUCACUUGUAGGAAUUUCAGAGGUAAAGCAUACUUCAUAGGAUUAAAGUAACAAUUGGCCACAUCUAGCAUUUAGCUCUUGUACUUCUGGUUUAUUUCCAAGUUUACUAUAAUCUACAAUGGCUGAGUGUGCAAAUAUAUUUAAUUAACCACUGGAAAGUGAAGAUCCACAAGAUUAUCCAAUCGAAGAAAAAGUUACAUAGCUCGGAAGGUGCACUUAAGUUUUAAUGAGCUCUGAAUGCCAAUAUCCCUGAAGAUCUCUAGCUUCAUGUCCGAUGGUAGUGUGAAUUUAUCCCACUCAUUAAGGGCCAUGGCCAUGAUAUAAUUUCUAGUCUUGAAACCUUUAACUUCAUUCCAUCUGAAUGGAUUUGUGAGAAAAAAGAGCACAUCAGUUCAAAGCCUCCGAAGACUCUAAAUUCUUUGCUCAUUCAUUUAAGUGACUGACUACGCGACCAGAUCUCUUUAUUUCAAAAUGAAACUCUGCUAUAUGUGUAUUCAAAGUAGAAAUGAUUGACAGAAACAUUUAAUUCCACUAUAUGAAGAAACAAGUUUUGGUGUUACCGAUCAAAUCGCUAACAGCAUGGCAAUUCAUAGAACUGGGAUGGCAUAUAACAACUUUAUAUCUAUGCUGAGAAGUGUAAAGUUAUAAAUAAAUUAUCAGAUUUCUGUAUUGUUUCUCAAGAUCAAUAUAAGAAGGGAAUUAAAUGCAUUUUCCAUAAUGAAAGAAAUUUGAUGCAUCCAUAAACAUGAUAUAAAAAACAAUAGCAGUUAAAGCAUACCUUCUCACAUUCAAGUUUUAGGUUUGGAUCAAUAGUUAGGCCUACUCUGCUCUUGUAGGUAGCAAGUAGCUCUCUCGUACGUGCUUCUUUAGCUGCCUUCUCUUCUGCAGAUUCAAGUACCUCUCCUGGACGUAUAGUUCUUCCACCGCCAAACUGAUCUCCGAACAAGCAAUAAGUUUAUUCAUAGUGUUUUGCUUAAAUGACUAUAUUCAUUAGUUUAAGAGAUCAUGGUAUUCGCAAACUAAAGUUUGAUAAACAGAGACUAAGCCCAACAUAAUAACAAGAAAUAAUAAUCAUAUGCCUAAUACUCUCUCCCAUCUUCUACAGAUCUUCACUGUGCUAUCUAACACGAGUAUCAGUAUGUUGCACCAUCUAAGAUCAAAUUACCUAAUCUUCAUUAUGUAGUUGACAUGCCUUCUCUUAAUGAGUUUUGUCUUUGCUGAUAUCUAAUAGUUCAAAAGACUUCUUCCUGCUAGAAAAAUGUCUUUUUUCACUAAUUUUGACUGAUCCAGGUGGAUAGAUUAUAUAUAAUCUAUGUAGCUGAUUCAAUCUAUUUCAUGAAAUUGUCUUGCCGGAUUUUUUAUUUUUAUUUUUUUACUGUGGGAUGACUUACUAGGACAUAAUAUGUACUCUUGAACCAAAGAAGUCCAACCACUGUGUUAUGAGUGAAGGUUUUAGCAUUAUUGGUACAACUGAUCGUUUGUUGAUUGUGUGAAAACAGCUCAAGAUGCAUUUGACCUUCGCUUUCUUUGUUCUGAUUUUGUAUUACAAACUUUAUCAGGAUGUCUUUUUAAAGUGAAAAAAAAAAUGAACCUCAGCAGAAGUGCAGAACGUCUUUGUUAAAGUAGACGAAAAUGAAUGUCAUAAGGUAAGGGGUGGGGUUCCAGGAUGAGUAAUGCGGAAAGCUCUCAAGUUUUGCCUUGAAAAUUAGUACCUACAAAUCUCUUGAACACCCAAAAAGAAGAAAAAUAUGAUUUGUGAUGCUAUGAAGUCUUUUAUUUGUGAUACUUGGAAGACUACUUAAUUUCCAAUAUGUUUUAUUAGUUCAACUCUAAUAAAGAUGCAUGAACUGAACUGUGCUAAAAGUAUGCAUCCUAUUGCCACCAUCUAUUUCACUUAAGGAGCUCAUGUGAGUUGUUUCUCUGCUCUGAUAAUUUGAGAAAUAUUAUUUCAGGUUGAGUUAGAGGAGACAGACGAAAAACAAGGCCCUGAAUUUGAAGAAGCUCGAAACAUAAUAACAGAUGUUGAGAAGUUGUUUGAAUCUUCUGAAGUUUAAAGCUCUCCAUCUUGUCCAUUAGACUGUGCUACACUACUUUUAUAACUAGAGAUAUUUCUAGCAUGUACAAAGUUUGGAACACUGCCUCAGGAACAAUUUUAUGUGUACAAAUUGGUCCCUAAAAUUGUAGUUUGUUAAUAGGACAUAUACAUCUCGAUAGACACAAACACCUAGUAUAUGAAUAAUCCACAUAAAGUCAUUGUUGAUUCAAUUAAGCAAUAAUAGAGUUAUUAAUUCACAAACAAAAUGAUUUAGUUAAGUGAUACCAACGAUCAAAUUUUUAUAAGAAAAAAUAACCCCAUGCUCAACAAUUGAGAAAUUAUGACAACCUAAUGUGAGGUAGGUUAGGCAAAAACUAAAGUAAUGAAUUUUGAUAGAUUUGAACUUGAAAUUUUAAUAGUUGGACUAAGAUUUAAGUGUUGGACUUGAUAAAAUGAUAAAUAAAGACUUGAGUUUAUUAAAUCUUAACAAAAAAAAUAAUAUUUUUAUGAAUCAUAUAUAUAAAUAAUUAUAAAUUUAUGUAUACAAUUUCUCAGUUUGAUUUAGUUAUUUUUUUAGUAAAAUCAAAAUCAAAUAAUAUCAAUUUUCAUAAUUUAAAAUUAAACCUAAUCAAAUAUCAAAUUUAUAAUCAAUUUAAUUUGAAUUGCGAUUCAAUCUAACUUUUAAUUAUAACCAUGAAUAACUCUACUUUUUAUAUAUUAAAAUAUUAUAUUAAUCAAAACAAUACAAUAUAACAUAUAUUACAAUACAAUAUAACAUAUAUUACGAUACAAUAUGUAACAACCUUCCAAAUUAAACAGAAGAGUAAUAAGGGAUGUUUUUUUUAAAAAAAAUACAAGCUUUCUAUAGUAGGUUUUUCUUGUAAAGGCUACACACAUCUCGAGAAUCUGCUCACACACCGCCACCGCCCACCGGCAGUACACUAGCCCAGCGACCAUCGCCCUCCGGGUUCGUGCUCUCUCUUCUCUUGUACCCAGUUUUUUUUUUCUCUGGUUCGUUUGAUGUGGAGUUUGGUUAAAGUUCCCUGUAAAUGGGAGGGUGAUUCAAUUAUUUGAGUAGUACAAAUAGUUUCGUUAAAGUUCUGCCUGCAAUGUGUUUGACAAAUUGUCUGAGAGACGAUCCCAUGAAGUCUAAGUAACUGAUUUGGAGUAAGUUUUGGGUAGUCAGGUAGAUCGUGAACUGGUUAGUCCUAUGGCAUUGAAAAUUGUCUGCGUCUAAGUUAAGCAAUCCUUUGGGAUUGAACAAUAGCAUUAUUGCAACUAAAUUGUGUGUUUGAGUGGAAUUGAUAUGUGAAACGGUAGAGUUUUGAACUGCAGGAAAAUGUGAUUUUUGUUCAUUUGCUUGAGUUUUGUCUUUGUUAAAACGGAUCUUAUUUUAAUUAAGGGAUUACCACAAUUUUUCUUUAUGUUAUUUAUAGUAAUUUAAAUGCAACAAGGCUUGUGGUGAUUGUUAUGUUGCAAUGAGAGCUUUGCUUGUGUUUACAUGUCCUGGAGGUUUGAUUGGGAUAGGAAAGAGUUGCUGAAACGUAAGGUUUUAUGGAUGGAUCACUGUCUAUUCUGGGUUGAGGAAAUUAGUCUUGUGUCUUAUUGGAAUAUAAUCUGCAUAACGUUCAUGUUGAAAUUGUCUGGAAAAUCAUGGUUAGGUUUGUUAACUGAACAUUUUGAUGUUUGAAUGAAAAAAUGUUUGAUGUGAUAUCCUUAAAUACAUGAUUAUUGACUAAGUUUCUAGUCAAUUGAUAGUGUGAUUUGCUCAUGGCUUCCUCUUGCUGCAAUCAAGUUUUCAUUUCCUUUUUUUUUUAAAUAACCGUGGUGUCCGGGCCGGCUUGCGUGCACCUCGACUAAUUCCACGGGAUACCUGCUGCCUUCCUCUAGCAACAUGUACCAAGUCAAUCUAUCCACCUAGUCUAGGACAAAUGGGAAGGAAUCACCUAGUGAUUUUUGUCUCUGCUGGGAUUUGAACCUGCGACCUCAUGGUGCUCAACCUAAUUCAUUGACUACUAGGCCACACCCUUGAGUCAAUCAAGUUGUCAUUCUUGUGAAAUUAUCAUACAUGUUUCAUCGUCAUUGUCUCAAGUUGGUCCAACUUCUGCCUGUUAAUUGCCUCAGAUGCCUCUUGUCUCUAGGUCUUUGAUCAUUGAUUUCCUUCCUUUGGUCCUGUCCUGUGUUUGCCUCAGCUGGUUUCUCACCCUUGUUCGUUCAAACUUACUUAGUUUUCUUCGGCUCAACUCUGGGAGGAGCCUACUUGUUCUGGUUCUUUUUUGGUUUGAUUUAACUGGACAUUGUGGCCUUCAAUUUUAUCUUACUUAUUGUUCAAAUAUAGCACCAAUAGGAUCAAGUACCUUGACUAUCUCAGGUGGAGGAACCAUGACAUCCAUUUCAACUAGUACUCGUGCAACAUGCAUACGAGAUCCUCUCCAUUUUAGUUGUACAUUUAUCAGCAUAUAUUGGAGUACCCAAACCAGUUGCUAUUCUGCUUAACGAGUUCAUUCCCCAGCAAUUUUGGGGAGGGCUAGGGAGCUUAACCCAAAUUGGAAUCAUUUUCAACACUUCAUCAUUGAAGCUGAAAUCAGCACCCAUGGUUUAACAGUGACUGGUUUAUUAUUUAUCAUAUGGGCUCCUGAUUGCACAAUUUCAUCUCUAUCACAGAUGCUAUGAGAUUUGAGUCUGAAAUACCCAUCUUUGUGAUAAUAGAUUUGACUUAUAAGCAUAGGAACUUUGGUUACCAAUGAAUCUGGCUAUUGCAACAAUUGUUGGGGAGUCAUCCAGUGUUAUCAAAAGCUAAAAGCGCAAAAAUGCUCUAAGGUCCAUAUCUUUAGAUGGCCUUAUGUUUCCAUCAAAUAAGCUUACCCAUGGCUUAUUCAUAGCAGUUGCAUGUGUCAUGUCUAGCCUCCUUUGCGUUCCAGCUGCUUCUUUUAACUGUUUUAUUGGUACCCCUCCACACAACUGGAUCUGAGAUCUGGGCAAUCACACUCCUUGGAGCUGAUGAUUGUGUGUUCUCAUCCUCUCCUUUUCACUAAUUGUAUUCAAAGGGGUUAUAAUGCUCCACUCUGUGCACUCACCGCGAUGUUUUGCUGGGACAUAGCAGGCUCAGUUUCUGGGCUCUUUCCUUUGUUCCUGUGGCGGCUGCAAUUUCUUUCUUCUGUGGUAUCCUCUCUUUGCCUUAGCCAGCUUAACAUCCAAGAGUUGAAUCUUGUUUUCUGUUUUCCUCCAUUUGCCUCUAGCCAUUCCAGCAAUGGCAUACGGAGUUUCACUGUGUGCCAAGAAGUUUUGUUAACAUGCACUUUGAGGAAAGGGAACUUUUUUAUGUAAAAUUUUAUGAUAUAAAAGUAUAAGUGUUUGAUUUUAAAACAAAAUAAAAAUAUUUGCAAUAUAAUUCCAUUACAUAGAUGUUUAGUAUAGAAUUUACCAUAGCAGUUAAGACGAAUCAUAUAUUUAAAGGAACAAUGCAAUAUAAAUAUGUUAACAAGUCAAUCAUCCAACCAAAGAUCUCCUACUACUCUCCUAUAUAGUACUCCCUCUAUGUGACUUACUUUCCUUUUUAGUCAGUCCCAAAAAGAAUGACACAUUUCUAUAUUAAGUAACAAUUUAACUUUAAAAUGUCUAUUUUACCCCUAAUGAAAUGAUUUACAGCCACACAAACUUCUAUCAUUUAUUUUAGACCACAAGUUUUAAAAGUCUUGCUUUCAUUCUUAAACUUUGUGGCUAGUCAAACUACCUCACAUAAAAUGGGACAGAGGGAGUAAUGUUUUUGUGUUCCGAAAGCUCUUGCACAAACCCUUUUAAUAUGAUCUGUUAAACCUUCUUAAAAUUUCACACAUUAGUAUUUUUUUUGACAGAUUUCAUCGAGCAUUGACAAUGGCUACGGUCAGAAAUCUGAAAAUCUAGACAUCUACUUGCAAACGCAUACUGAAGGAUCUCCAUUCCUAUGAGAAAGAGGUUGAGAGAGAAGCUGCUAAGACUGUUGAUAUGAAGGAGAAAGGUGCCGAUCCCUAUGACCUCAAACAACAGGUUCCUUCUUUUUCUACUUUUUUAUUAAAAUUUAAUUUUGUUGUGUUAAGAUUUCACUUUUGAUUUGGUGCCUGAUCCAACAACUUUGCUCUUCACCCAAAGUUGGCCUUUCCCUUACUGUUUACUCCCCACUUUGGUGUAAUUAAUGGAGGACAUUGGGACAGUUUUAAGGAUAUUUACAUCCUAAUUUGGUAAAGGGCUUAUUCUGCUAUUGCAUUUCAUCACAAUAGUGGGUAAAUUGUUUUGAUUAGGCAGGUAGAGUUUAAAUUGAAUUACUCAAUCCUCCGUUUCCCAGUCUUGUAUGUUCCUUCUGAGGAUGAUGUUCCAGAAACUCCCUUCUCUGUAUUGCUGAAUAGUAGAGUUUGGCUCCCUUGCUAUCUGGAACAUGUUAGGAUAAGCAACCAUUAAAGAGGAGUUGCCUAUCCAUUUUCUGGAAUAAGGGGAUGCAGCCCAAUUAGCAUAACAGUAUGCUGAUAUUUUUGUUAGAGGUUUUGCUAGACAGCAAAACCUCUUGUCCUGGUUGUUUUUUGAAGUAUCUAACAACUCUGAGGGUUGCUUCCAUGUGUGACUUCUUAGGUGCUUGUAGAAAUUGGCUUAGAGUUCUACAGUAUAGGAGAUGUCAGGUGUUGUCAUAGUAAUAUAUAGAAGCUUACCUAUUAAUCUUUGAUAGGUAGUUUGUUCAGCAAGAGUUCCUUCUUUUCUAUUUUCUUCUUGGUUAAGAUGAUCGUCAUACUCCUUAGUGGUGAGCUUAACACUUGUAUCCGUAGGUGUCAUGGUAGGUUUAACCCCUAGUACAGUUUCAGAGAUAAGUUCUAAUGCAUAUUUCCUUUGAUGCAUUAGAAUCCCUUCUUUAGAUCUAGCAAACUCUAUUCCAAGGAGGUAUUUAAGCUCACCUAAAUCUUUCAUCCUGAAUGCCUUUUGCAGUGUAAGUUUUGUGUCUUCAAUCAACAUUAAACUAUCACCUGUUAUAAGCAUAUCAUCAACAUAAACUAAUACUAGAGUGGUACCUUCUGUAAUUUUCUUCAUGAACAAUGAAUGGUCAUGUUGACUUUGCUGAAAUUUGAACCUUGGAAGUGCCUCAGUGAGCUUGACAUUCCAUUGUCUUGGAGCUUGUUUCAAUCCAUACAAGGAUUUUAUUAGUCUGCAUGCUAUCUUAUCUUAGAUUCCCUCUGACUUAUAAAACCUCGAGGAAGUUCCAUGUAUAUUUCAUCAAGAAGGUCACCUUUAAGAAUGCAUUGUAUACCACUGUUAUCAAAGGCGAAAAGUGCAAAAAAAGCUCUAAGGUCCGUGUGGGCGGUAAGCGCAAAGUGUAAAUAAAGCGUGGGUUUUAAUGAAAAAAGGCGCAAAGGGAGAAAAAAAUACAAAUGUAUAUGUUUAGUCCAACACUAAUAAUUAUAAACAUGAAUGGCAAAUAUAUGACCCAAGAAAUUGACAAAAAUUUAUAAUAAAGUGAAAUAUCAAUUGUUUAGUUUCACUUCUUCAUAAGAGGCUCGUUGGCAAGGAAAAGUUUGUCUUAGAAUCUUGAUGACGACGCUGAAGUGCACAUAAAGCGAGGCAAAGCGCUCAACAUGUUUUGAGCCUCGCUUCAGGGCUUAAGCGCGCCUUUGAUAACAUUGUUGUAUACACACAUUUGAUGUAUAUGCCAAUGCUUGACUGCAGCAAUAGCUAGAACAGACCUGACAAUUUUCAUUUUCACUACUGAUGAAAAUGUUUCAUGGUAGUCAAUCCCUUCCUUUUGACUAUAGCCUUUGGCAACCAACCUUGCCUUAUACCUUUCAACCUCUCCAGAUGCCUUGUAGUUAACAUUGUAUAUCCAUUUACAACCUAUAGAUCUCUUCCCUUUAGGUAGAGGAACUAUAUCCCAAAUAAUGAUUACUCUAUAAUGCCUCAAUUUCUAGUUUCAUUGCAUCCACCCAUCUUGGAUCUUUAACAGCCUCACUAUAACUUGUAGGUUCUAUUAUGGAAGAAGAUUUGGCUAUGAAACUUGAUAUCUAGGAGAUAGAUGAUCAUAGGUAAUAUAGUUGGGACAUAGGAUAGGGAGCCUCCUUAUGUACAGUCAUGGACACAAAGUCGUUUAACCAUAUCGGUGGGUUCCUUUCUCUACCUGACUUUCUAGUUUCAGAUUGAGAGUUUCCUAUGGACAGAGGUUGAGCAGUGACCACUGGCUCCACUCCUGACUCAGGUACAACCUGUGAUUCUGAAGACUGUCUUAGUACAAUCUGAGUGUAUGUACAUAGGCCAGAGGAUUCCACGUUUUGCCUUCGAGAGUUAUAGCAGGAUAUGAUUGUAAGGAUCUGAUGGAGGGAACAAGAUGUGAGAUCUAGGAAAUGACUUUUGAAGGGAAAGGUGUCUUCCCUAAAUAUGACAUCCCUGCUGACAAACAGAUUUUUGGUGUCUAUAUCAUAUAGAAGAUAUCCUUUCUGAGUUGCAGAAUAUCCCAUAUGGAUUGCCAUUCUAGAUCUAGAAUGUAACUUGUCAGUCUCUUUGAGAAUUUUUGCGUAACACAAGCAUCCGAGAACCUUUAGAUGAGUCAGAUAAGGUCUUUUAUUGUAUAAAACUUCAUAUGAAGACUUGUUUUGCAGGACUGAACUAGGAAGUCUAUUGAUUAAAUAAACAGCGGCUAGCACACAUAGUUCCCAGAACUUGAUAGGUAUUUGAGCCUGAAACUUAAUGGCUCUAGUCAUUUCAAGCAAGUGCCUAUGCUUUCCUCUCAGCCACCCCAUUCUUCUGAGGGGUACAUGCACAACUUGUUUGAUGAAUUAUGCCAAGUUUGUUGAACAUGUUACCACAUACUAAGUUAACAACCUCAGUUCCAUUGUAUGGCCUUACUAUUUUAACCAACUUAUCAAACUGAGUUUGUACUUGAGUUAGAAACUGUUGAAUCACUACACACAUCAGGCUUUCAGCAAAAAUAUCCAUGUCAUUCUAGUAAAAUCAUCCACCAAAGUUAAGAAGUAUCUAUGACCAUCAAAAGUAGUAACCCUGUAAGUACCCCACAUUAUAGAUUAGGACCCCACAUUCUCCUGUGUGGUUUGCGAGCUAUUGCACAGGAAUGGAGGUUUUACCCUAUGCGCACCCAAAAGUUAGCGGCUGCGGGUCUCCCUUGUCAUAAAAAAAAGAUUAGGACUACUACAUGUUCUCUAGGUUGUGUCCAUCUUCAGAUCAAAAUAAUAUUCUUUCACCCAAAUUAGAUGACCUGCCUAUUAUUCUUGAAUUUGACCGAACCUUUUCCUCAAUCCGAACUUGGUAAGCUGAGCUACAUCGUCUAUUUCUGGAAAGGGGAAAUAAUGAGUAAAAAAAUGAAGAUUCAUCUGCUUCUUAUACUGAGUUACUAUCUAUAAAAAAAUGAAAGAGUAUAUUCAAGAAUAAUUGGAAUGUAAUAGUUUAUGCUGUCGCAAUAUCUUAUCCAAAAAAAAAACAGAAAAAUUUUAUUGUGUGCAAUGUAUUUAAUUCUUGGACACUACUGUAUAUUAAUUGUUAUAAAUGGAUGGCACAUUAUGUUAACCAAUUAACUGUAUAGAAUUUGCAAAGUUUUCUUUUAAUGGUCUUCUAUUGAUGUUAAUAAGAAGAACGAAAGCAACAUUGAUCAUAAUGCGUUUUGUCAAGUUUGCUGCAUUAUAGCUUGGAUGUUUUCCACUGUGUAGCUGAUGUACAAUUAGUUUGUCUUGAGCACCUGAAAGCUUCACUAUUAAAAUACAGUUUGUGCAUUCAUGUGGGAACUUUUGACUUAAAUAAUAUGUAAUAUCUCAAAGGAGGACAAUGGAUAUUAGUGCUUUUGUGCCUCAAAUCUCUCUUCUUUUUCUUUUUUUUUGGCUUAUGAUAUUUGAACUUACAUGUUUUUUUAUUUGCAUUUGUUUCAGUUGAUUGUCCUAGGCUUGAAGAUGGAAAGCAGUAUAAAGGAUGAACUCUACUCUGACAUUUUCGAUAUGUCAAAUCUUCAAUCAAGUCUUAGGCUGACUACCAAUUCCGGAAACAAUGAUUCACAUGGUAUGAACUUCAGCUGAUUGCUUCAAGCUGAUAAUGAAAAUUAGAAAUGCAUUUUGCUAUUAACAUUUGAAUAUCAAAUUGCUUACCAUAAAUAAAAGGUAUGAUGUGGUGCUCUUAUUCCUAGAUUGCAUAUUUGUUGGAAUAACUAUCAAAGUGGAAGACUGACGGUCUUCAUUUACAUCUUAAGAAGUUUUAUUCUAAAAGGUCUUCUUCACUGGCUACUCUCAGCAGAUCUGGAUUGAUUAACCGUUGUUCUUUCUCCUCUCCUUCGCCUUCCUUUGUUUGUCAAAGAUUAUUCAAAACUUAAAGAACUAUAUUAUCUCUCCUAUCCUUCCCUACUUUCUCGUUUCAAACAUUAUUAAACCUCUGAUCGUGAUUGUGAGUAAAUAUGUUGGUUAAAUGCUGCUAAGUGGAGAUGUUCUCUUAUCUAUGUAUAGUUUUGUUGGUUAGGAUCUCUCCUGUACAUAGUUUUGUUAGUAGUGCUGACUGCAAUUAAUAUCUAAUGCCAGAGAGCGAGUGGUGCGACGUGUGGAGUGAUGAUGGAGAUUUGUGCCAUGAUUCUACUGAUAAACUGGAUAAAACAUCUGAAAUGGACAGGGAAUGGCAGAGGCGGCAUGACCAAUUCCACACUGUAUCCUUACAAGUUUAAUCUGAUUGAUAGCAUCCAGAAAACAAAAUUAGAUAUGUCCCUUUUGGUUGCAAAUUCAAUUUGUAUUUGGAAUUCCUGAUGAAUUAUUAGGUCGGAUACCGUGAUGGUCUUAUGGCAGGGAAAGAAGCUUCAGUUCAAGAGGGAUUUAAUGUUGGUUUUACAGACUCUGUGUAUGUUGGUUACAACUGGGGUCUUGUCAGAGGUAUCACUAGGUAAGUAUACGCAUUUCAUACAUGGAACCUGUAGAGAGUUGAGUUUGUGUACUAACUAGAAAUUUUCUUCGCCAUUUCGGAUUUAAAUUUGAUGUUCUCUCCUUUUCUUUCCCUCUUUGAAGCGCUUUGGCCUCUCUUCCCAAUGGCUUAGUAGAAAGAAUGGUUGAUACAAAGGAAAUCCAGAAUAAGUUCCAGCACUUACAUGAGUCUGUGCAAUCUCGUUCAACAGUGGAAAUGCUAAAGGUGUUCCGUGAUUAUCUGACAAAGAAAGCGGAAGAGAGUGCUAAAAAUGACAACUCUAGCUCCUGCUUGGCUGAUUCCAGCGACCUCAGUUCCAAUGACAGUCUUCUUGAGAAUUACCAGAAAGAGCUUCAAUUACUUAUUGAUGAAUCAGGGCUCAAAUUGCACUUAGAUACAAAGAAGUAGCUUUUUCUUUUCCUGCUUAGCUCAUUGAAGUCACUUCUAGUUUUCAUCACAAUCCAUGAAAAUUGCAUUCAAAAAGAGAAAAAAAACAGUACACUUGAAUGCAUAGUUUGUACAUAGUAUAUUUCUAUUUUCCAACAUUUUAUGCGUGGUUUAGUUAAACAUGUAUUGUACUCUGAUGAGAAAUUACUUUUUCCGCCUUCUACUGUCUUUUUCCUUUCUUUUAUCCCAAGUUUUUGGCUAUUAUUAGUAGGAAUGAGGUCUAAAUUUGUAUUUUACGCUGUUGCUUGCCUUUUCAGGUGAUAGUUUGGUUGAUUUCCAUUUUUAUGUGGUUAAGAGUGGCAAACUCCAAAGGUUUCAUUUUCUCAGUUGUUUGUUUUUGUUAAUUCCAGUUUGUUUGGAAUCAUAAGUUGAAGUGUUUGGUGAAAGUCCUUUUUUUUGGGUUUCCCAUUUGGUAUCCAGAGCCCAUAUUGAACCCCCUACUAAUUAAUUUGGAUCGCACACUGUAGGGCGCCAACCCGAGACCUCUGGUUAAGGGUGAAACAGUCCGACCACUACACCACAACUCAUGUUGGUGAUAGUCCUUAACAAACUUUGGCCUGAUUGAUUAGAGAAAUCAAAUGGGUUUCUGGACUAUUCAAACAGUUUUUUUUUCGUCUAAAAUUUGAAUGGGUUGACUCUGAAAAUUGGCUAUAGAAGUUGGGUUUCGAAAUUAUUUUGCAGCUCUAUUUGCUUUUUUACGUUUUUUGUAAACUGCUGAUCUUUUGUAUUUGCAUCAGCAUGCUCAUGCUGUAUUAGAAUCUAAGUUUAAACAACAAAGCUUUAGAAAAAACUUUACCAAGACGUGAAUGGGGUUAUUAGAUAAGUGUAAUAACUCUAUUAUGGGAUAUUCUUUGACCUUUUCAACUUAGAAACCAAGUGUUGAAAUGUAGUCUCUUUGAAAGAAUGCCUGUUAACAUCUCUACUGAGAUAACUACAACAUCAAGGCAUUUGGAAUGUUGCUGGAAAAUCAAUUUGACGCAAUCAAAUUCAUCCAGAUCAUGUGGUUUGUACAAAUCUGUCUUCACUGACCAUGGUUGUUCUUUAUCUCUUUAUUUGUUCAUUAUAGUAGUUUCUUUGGUAAAGAAAGUAACUAUUCGUUAUGUCCAUGGAGAUGUGCAUAUAGCUGUUUUGUAUCUUUGUCAAACAGUGGCAGCAAAAUAAUGGAACUCAAAAGCACUAAAUCACCAAGUGGAUUUUCAUUGUCAUUUGAUCAACUACUAGCUGCUCCAACCAACUUCAAAGAAGAAAAACAAAACUUUACAGCCCACAUCAACAAAAAAGGCGCUUUGGGUCAGCUACCUGGGUUCUGCUGCAGUUUCUGUUUAUUGGUUAGUGUUUUUCAUUCUUUGCUUUGAUCAAUGUGGUUCAAAUCAAGCUUGCGACUUUGGGAUGUGAGAGCAAGCAUACAUAUGGAGUAGUUAUACCAUUUGUCAUUUUUCCUUUUUUUUGUCCUUGUAUGACUUAUCGAUCUUUAGGAUUUGGCGGAUGAAUAAUGAUCAGUUGGAUACAUGAGAGAGUAGUAUCUCCAACUUGAGAGAAUAGUAUCUGAAAUUAAGUGAUCUUUAGGAGAAAAAGGUAAAAGUUUUGUGAUAGUAAAUAACUUUAGCUAAGAUGCAGUUGUUUUGUCCAUAUACAUGGAGCAGUUAGUGUUUGAAUUGUUCCUACUCUUCGAUGAACUCUACAAUCUCUUCUAACCAAUAUUCGGGCUGUUAAAUUCAAUUUGCUCAGUAGUGAUUACUGGUUAAAUGCAUGUCAAAAACAUUUUAUUGGCAUAUUUCAGAUAGUAGCAGAGAUGAUAGUUGAAGAUAAUGGUACCAUAGCAUGUCAGGAUACAUAUAAGAAACAUUAGCCAACUGUAGAUAAAGCCAUAGAUUGAAGUACAUAAAACCUUUCACAGCAGUACUAAAGUACGUGUAGGCAUAAUCCUCAGGAAACAAGCACACUAGAAAGCUCUAUUAUAAAUUACUUGAGAUUCCAUGAUGAUGUUCUCCACCAUCUAAUCCCAAUCAAUUCCUUUAAUGCCGUUAAGCUGAAAUCCUUGCACAUGUUGGAGGGUUGUGAAUUGUGAGCAACAAGCCAGUUGUUCCUGGACGAAAGAUUGUCUUACUAGCUCCGCGCUGAUGUCCACCUGUGCCACAAUGAAAGCCUGUGCUUAUUGUAACUCAUCUAUGAAAACAAUUCUGUGUAUUUCAAGAUUUCAUCUAGCAUUCUGGUUAUAGUAGUUUGAUUAUGACAUAUAAGGCAGAAUUGUAUUAGAUGGUAUGAGUUUUGUACUGACCUGGAACUGGCAUCAGUUGCAAGCUUGAAUUGGUCUAGGAUGUGUGAAUCCUGAUGCACUGCGCCUGAGGUGAGGCUCCCAUUUAGAUGUUGGCAAUACUGUUUCAAAAGCCUCCACGAGCAAUGCAACCUUUCUCUUACGAGCUGGUGCAAGUUUGUCCACUGCUCGUCGGAGUGCAAAAUCAAGCAUCCAGUCCUCUGCAUUUUUCCUGUCAUCCAUCAUCUGAUGCUUGAGAUCAACUUUCUCUGCAUCUGGAUCUGGCUCCAGUGGCAGGAAAUUUGGUGGUCGUGGAUUGAAGUCUCUUGACUCCUCUGGCUCCUUAGUGUCAUUGCGCCUGGCUAUGCCUCUCAGGUUUAUGUACCUCUCAGACAUUUCUUCACUCGAAUCAUAUUUUGCAUGUGUCUUCUUAUCUUUGAUUUGGUUCUGCUUUUCCACACAUGCCUCAGCUGUUUGAUCCACUUCGACACCAGGUGCAUUUUCACUUCCAUCUUCAACUUGAUGGCUUGUACAGUCUUCAGAGGCGUUUUCACUUCCAUCUUCAGCUUGAUGGCUCACAUCGCUCUCGUCCUUGAGAUCUGCCUCUACUACCAACUGUUGAGCAUUAUUGCCAUGACCAUUUUCAUCUCCUUGUUCACAGCAAUCUGUUUUUAUUUCUGUAUCUUCCAUCUUGACAACAAUGUUUUCAUCCGAACGUUCUUCAUUAUCCUUACAGGUUUCAUCUUGCACUGCAUUGAGAUAGCAAACAUUGAGCUCUUGAUAGCCUUUAAGUGCAGCUGCAUCAUCAUCUUGAGGAGUUACGCAUUCUUCGUGAGAAGUUGCAGUUUCAUCUCUAGACAGAAGGUUUCUUCUGCCUUAACAGCAGCCUGAUAAUCCAUUGUUGCUGUCUCACUAUCUGUACCAUCCAGAAUCAAAUUGACAUCUAGAGAGAUAAGUGUAGUGUCCUCAGACACUUCAACACACUCAUCAAUGUCAAAUUCUGUAUGCGAACAGAUAGAUUCGGAGUCAUCAUAAUCAUAACUUGUUCCAGAGAUGAUAAUUUCUUUAUCAAAUGACUCUUCCAGAGUGUUGUCAGAUAGAAGUUCAGGAUUAGAUGAUUUUUCCGUGAACUCCUCGCUGACAACUGGAUCAUCAACCAAUGUGAUGGGAUCUGUAUUAUCUGAGAUUGAACCAAUUUCGUCUUCGCUAUAUGCAUAGUACUUCUCUACAUCCCAGUCCAUAUCAGAAGCUUCAUAUUCCAGCUCUUCUGCUGUUGCUUCUAUCUCUAUUUUAGUGUGCAUACUCAAGGAUUCAAUAUCCACUUCCUCUUGAACCAUGUCACUAGCACCUUCGUUUGGAUUCUCUGCAGGACAAAAGCCAGGCGUGUUGAUUUCUGCUGAAAUAGCUUCUCUCUUUUGAUCAAGAUUGUCCUCGGUAUCAUCUGCUGCCACUUCACUGCUUUCACCCGAAGGUACAAGAUCAGUGACAGAAGAAUCAAUGAUGUAAUAAUCAUCUACCGAGUUGGUCUCUUCCUUUUCGUUGCUAUAAAUUUCGACAAAAAACUCCUUGUCAUCUUCAUUUGUCAGAGGAUCUACCUUCUCUGUAGUACUCUCUAUUUGUUUUGGCACAUUAUCAUUCAAGCCUAAUCCACGAGGAUUAGCUCGACGAGGAGAGACACAUCCCAACUUGAAACUCCUCUGAUUCUUCAACAUACGCCUUCUUGCUGACAAGAAACACUUCAAUGGAGGCAAAGGAGGGUGAUGAUGACCAUUAAGAGAGCAAUAUGUAUAUGGACAAACCUUGAAAACAGAAGUUCCAUCUGAUUCUGUUCCUCCAGGACUAAGUUCAAGAUAUGAAGGAAACUUAACUUCUUUCAAAGUUGAUGAACAUGUAGCCCUUUCUACUUGGAAAUCAUCAUACCUAACAAUAGGGGAACAUGAUGAAACUCUUGUUGGUUUAAAACUAGGAGUUCUAGCUAACAAACUCCUUAUUGGUUUAUUAACAGAACUACCCGAGCCUAACUUUGAGUUACUUGAAUUCUUUCUACUACAACUUUGUGAAUAAGUUUGAAGGCUCCUUGAACUUACCUGAGAUUGCUCUUUCCUUGCAACAGAACUGCUUGUGGACUUCAUAUAAUUUGGAGUACAUAUUGAUUGCUGUUGUUGCUGAUUCUGAUUCUGAUUCUGACGCUGACGCUUCGUUGGUGUUGAUGAGUUAGUACUAGGGGGUGGUUUGCCUGGCUGAGGUACAUAUUUUCUGAAAUUUGGUGAGUGGGAUAUUUCAUAUUCUAAGUGUUUGGUUUUGCCUGAUUUCUUCAUCAUCUUUUUCUUGAGUUCAGCUUUUCUAUUCUUGAUGGUGUCAUGGUUUUGUGAUAUAGGCAAAGAUGGUUUGUGGUUCAUUAUUUGGUUGUUGGCUUUUAUAAUAUGAUCAGUUUUGAUACCAAGCUUGUUGAGGACUUUUUUUUGCACCAUCUUAAUUUGGUUUUGGGAAAAGAAAGAUAUAUUCUUUUCAAGGAUUUAUGGAUUUGAGGUAGUGUUUCUUCAUAUUAGAGAUAAGAGAGUUUUAGUUCAUGAAGAAAGGAAGUUUUUGAAAUCUCAACUACCAGAGAUUCCAAAUGGUUUAUUUGCCUUUGGUUUGUAAGCAGCGUUCUUCUUCUUUUUUAUGUUCUUGUCUUGCU